This 633-nucleotide ribosomal RNA is filed under the name uncultured prokaryote. RNAcentral's name for it is "bacterial SSU rRNA". It matches the Rfam family "Bacterial small subunit ribosomal RNA", at positions 28 to 653 of the family's 1533-position model. The record is from RNAcentral.
GAUGAACGCUAGCGACAGGCCUAACACAUGCAAGUCGAGGGGCAGCACAAGGUAGCAAUACUGAGGUGGCGACCGGCGCACGGGUGAGUAACGCGUAUGCAACCUGCCUGUAACAGGGGAAUAGCCUCUUGAAAGAGAGAUUAAUGCCGCAUAAUACGAGAUUCGGGCAUCCGGAUUUAGUUAAACAUUUAUGGGUUACAGAUGGGCAUGCGUUUCAUUAGGUAGUUGGUGAGGUAACGGCUCACCAAGCCGACGAUGAAUAGGGGUUCUGAGAGGAAGGUCCCCCACACUGGUACUGAGACACGGACCAGACUCCUACGGGAGGCAGCAGUGAGGAAUAUUGGUCAAUGGACGCAAGUCUGAACCAGCCAAGUCGCGUGAAGGAUGAAGGUAUUAUGUAUUGUAAACUUCUUUUGUCAGGGAAUAAUGGGUGUCACGUGUGACGCAGAGGAAUGUACCUGACGAAUAAGCAUCGGCUAACUCCGUGCCAGCAGCCGCGGUAAUACGGAGGAUGCGAGCGUUAUCCGGAUUUAUUGGGUUUAAAGGGUGCGUAGGCGGUUUGUUAAGUCAGUGGUGAAANUUUGCGGCUCAACCGUAAAAUUGCCAUUGAAACUGGCGAACUUGANUACAGUA